Molecule: long non-coding RNA, 511 nt
Filed under: Vombatus ursinus (common wombat)
Lineage: Eukaryota; Metazoa; Chordata; Mammalia; Diprotodontia; Vombatidae
Description: lncRNA (ENSVURG00010013273.1)
Source: RNAcentral
CUAUAGUAAGCAAUAACAUAACUGGAAAGGGACUUACUGCUUUUUCAGAAUCAAUGAAAACAAAUACCACACUUACUAAUAUUUACAUCUGGGGAAACAAACUUGAUAGUGAAACGUGUGUGGCAUUUUCAAACUUAAUAACAUCGGGUCGUCUAAAAAAAGAGAAUACAGACGUGGAGCCCUAUGAAGUUGAUGGCUGUGUAUAUCUUGCUGAGCUGUCUCACGGCAUUAAAAAACAUUAUUACUGGACACCCACUUAUGGAGAAAUCGAAGGUCCUUCAACCGAUGCAGGCUUUGCUAUUGUGCAAUCAGCCAAAAACCUAUGAAAACAAGUUUCUAACUUUGAUCCCUGUCACCUUUGUGACUUCAUCCCCAUAUUCACUUACCUUACUGAAAUGCUGUUUCUUCAAAACCCACGUCCAUGAAACCUUUCCCCAUCCAUCUCCAGCCCACAAGCGCUCUCUCCCUCCUAACUCUGUUAGAGCACUGGCUCUCCUGUGCCCCAUUCUAC